RNAcentral lists this unclassified non-coding RNA (253 nucleotides) under Curvularia pseudorobusta. RNAcentral describes it as "partial internal transcribed spacer region". The stretch from base 1 to 46 matches the Rfam family "Eukaryotic small subunit ribosomal RNA", at positions 1786 to 1831 of the family's 1831-position model. The record is from RNAcentral. Lineage: Eukaryota; Fungi; Ascomycota; Dothideomycetes; Pleosporales; Pleosporaceae. RNAcentral also lists the same sequence under 2 other names.
AAGUCGUAACAAGGUCUCCGUAGGUGAACCUGCGGAGGGAUCAUUACACAAUAAACAUAUGAAGGCUGCACCGCCAACAGGCGGCAAGGCUGGAGUAUUUUAUUACCCUUGUCUUUUGCGCACUUGUUGUUUCCUGGGCGGGUUCGCCCGCCUCCAGGACCACAUGAUAAACCUUUUUUAUGCAGUUGCAAUCAGCGUCAGUACAACAAAUGUAAAUCAUUUACAACUUUCAACAACGGAUCUCUUGGUUCUG